UACGUAGGGUCCGAGCGUUGUCCGGAAUUAUUGGGCGUAAAGGGCGCGUAGGCGGCGCGAGGAGUCGGGGGUGAAAGUCCGGGGCUCAACCCCGGAUCGGCCUUCGAUACUCUCGCGCUGGAGCACAGUAGAGGCGGGUGGAAUUCCGGGUGUAGCGGUGGAAUGCGUAGAGAUCCGGAAGAACACCGGUGGCGAAGGCGGUUAGCUGGGCAGUUGCUGACACUGAGGCGCGACAGCGUGGGGAGCAAACAGG
This 253-nucleotide ribosomal RNA is filed under the name uncultured bacterium. RNAcentral describes it as "partial 16S ribosomal RNA". It matches the Rfam family "Bacterial small subunit ribosomal RNA", at positions 524 to 776 of the family's 1533-position model. The record is from RNAcentral.